CGCUGGCGGCGUGCUUAACACAUGCAAGUCGAACGGUGACCCAGGGCUUGCCCUGGUGAUCAGCGGCGAACGGGUGAGUAACACGUGGGCAACCUCGCCCCUGACGUUCGGGAUAACUCCUACGAAAGAGGAGCUAAGUACCGGAUACGACCUACUUCGGACAUCCGAUGGUGGUGGAAAGUUUUUUCGGUCAGGGGAUGGGCCCGCGGCCUAUCAGCUAGUUGGUGGGGUAAUGGCCUACCAAGGCGACGACGGGUAGCCGGCCUGAGAGGGCGACCGGCCACACUGGGACUGAGACACGGCCCAGACUCCUACGGGAGGCAGCAGUGGGGAAUAUUGCGCAAUGGGCGAAAGCCUGACGCAGCGACGCCGCGUGAGGGAUGAAGGCCUUCGGGUUGUAAACCUCUUUCAGCAGGGACGAAGCGAAAGUGACGGUACCUGCAGAAGAAGCACCGGCUAACUACGUG
Molecule: ribosomal RNA, 467 nt
Filed under: uncultured bacterium
Lineage: Bacteria
Description: bacterial SSU rRNA
Rfam family: Bacterial small subunit ribosomal RNA
Source: RNAcentral